This 579-nucleotide ribosomal RNA is filed under the name uncultured bacterium. RNAcentral describes it as "partial 16S ribosomal RNA". It matches the Rfam family "Bacterial small subunit ribosomal RNA", at positions 355 to 919 of the family's 1533-position model. The record is from RNAcentral.
UAGGGAAUUUUGGACAAUGGGCGAAAGCCUGAUCCAGCAAUGCCGCGUGUGUGAAGAAGGCCUUCGGGUUGUAAAGCACUUUUGUCCGGAAAGAAAUCCUUGGCUCUAAUACAGUCGGGGGAUGACGGUACCGGAAGAAUAAGCACCGGCUAACUACGUGCCAGCAGCCGCGGUAAUACGUAGGGUGCAAGCGUUAAUCGGAAUUACUGGGCGUAAAGCGUGCGCAGGCGGUUUGCUAAGACCGAUGUGAAAUCCCCGGGCUCAACCUGGGAACUGCAUUGGUGACUGGCAGGCUAGAGUAUGGCAGAGGGGGGUAGAAUUCCACGUGUAGCAGUGAAAUGCGUAGAGAUGUGGAGGAAUACCGAUGGCGAAGGCGAGCCCCCUGGGCCAAUACUGGACGCUCAUGCACGAAAGCGUGGGGGAGCAAAACAGGAUUAGAUACCCCUGGGUAGUCCACGCCCUAAAACGAUGUCAACUAGUUGUUGGGGAUUCAUUUCCUUAGUAACGUAGCUAACGCGUGAAGUUGACCGCCUGGGGGAGUACGGUCGCAAGAUUAAAACUCAAAGAAAUUGACGGGGU